GCAUUGAUGAUUCAGUGGUAGAAUUCUUGCCUUCCCUGUGGGAGACCCAGGUUCAAUUCCCAAUCAGUGCA
RNAcentral lists this transfer RNA (71 nucleotides) under Loxodonta africana (African savanna elephant). It matches the Rfam family "tRNA". Rfam says of the family: Transfer RNA (tRNA) molecules are approximately 80 nucleotides in length. Their secondary structure includes four short double-helical elements and three loops (D, anti-codon, and T loops). The record is from Rfam by way of RNAcentral. Lineage: Eukaryota; Metazoa; Chordata; Mammalia; Proboscidea; Elephantidae.